CAGUACUAUGAGUACUUUUACUUUCAUACUUUAAGUACAUUUAGCUGAUAAUAAAUACAUACUUUUUCUUAAGUAAGGUUUUGAAUGCAAGACUUUUAACCGUUGUGGAGUAUAUUCACGUUAUAGUGUGUUAUUAGUACUUUUACUGAAGUAAAGGAUCUGAAUACUGCUUAUCUGAUGGCUGUUGAACCCCACAGAGUCAGGGCAGACCUGAGCUUCUUAGGAUAGUUUCAGGGGGAUUCGUGUUUAAUAAGUAUAAUUAGGAGAACAGUCAGACAACAAGUUUUAACCAUAGACCGGAUUUAAAAAGGUUUUGACGAACUCUACUGAUGUCCGCGCAUCAAUGGCUGCAAUAAAGCUGGCCGCCAUGGGCAGCACUGACCACAAUGCAUCAGUCCGUCAGAGAGGAAGCUUUCGCGCCAUCUUGGAUUUCACAUUAGUUGUUUUGAAUUUGAUGAAAUUCGCUGGCGCUCCAUCGGUGUAAACAGAGUUUUUGUUACUUUACAAGCGCCUAAAAUCGACGUGAAUUCUCCUGAACUGUUGCAGAGAAGUUCACCUGUCCUCCAGGUUGAAAAUACUACCUUCCUGUUUUGGCGGCGCUGCAACAUGUUAGCUUCACAUUACAACGCUGCUACUUCCGCUCAUGGACAGACCUGUCAUGCGCAGUGCUGCCCUCUGCUGGCCACACACACAGCCUGCUCCAAUUAUACUUAAAUGUAACUCUUUUUUUUGUUUUUUUGUUUUUUUUCUACAUGAGUUUUUCCAGCGAUCAUCUCAUCAGAAAAAUGCAUUAAUAUUCUUUAACUUUAUCAAGUUUGGGUGUGUUUUUAUUAAAUGUUUAUUUCACUGUGA
This is a long non-coding RNA of Micropterus salmoides (largemouth bass), 852 nucleotides long. RefSeq lists it as uncharacterized. Lineage: Eukaryota; Metazoa; Chordata; Actinopteri; Centrarchiformes; Centrarchidae. The transcript has 2 exons. The record is from RefSeq and is a predicted model, not a curated record.